UGGGGAAUAUUGCACAAUGGGCGAAAGCCUGAUGCAGCGACGCCGCGUGCGGGAUGACGGCCUUCGGGUUGUAAACCGCUUUCGGCAGGGAAGAAGCCGCAAGGUGACGGUACCUGCAGAAGAAGCGCCGGCUAACUACGUGCCAGCAGCCGCGGUAAUACGUAGGGCGCAAGCGUUGUCCGGAAUUAUUGGGCGUAAAGAGCUCGUAGGCGGUUCGUCGCGUCUGCUGUGAAAUCCUCAGGCUCAACCUGGGGCGUGCAGUGGGUACGGGCGGACUAGAGUGCGGUAGGGGUGACUGGAAUUCCUGGUGUAGCGGUGGAAUGCGCAGAUAUCAGGAGGAACACCGAUGGCGAAGGCAGGUCACUGGGCCGCAACUGACGCUGAGGAGCGAAAGCAUGGGGAGCGAACAGGAUUAGAUACCCUGGUAGUCCAUGCCGUAAACGUUGGGCACUAGGUGUGGGUCCAUUCCACGGAUUCCGUGCCGCAGCAAAGCGCAUUAAGUGCCCCGCCUGGGGAGUACGGCCGCAAGGCUAAAACUCAAAGGAAUUGACGGGGUCAUAGCUGUUUCCU
RNAcentral lists this ribosomal RNA (570 nucleotides) under uncultured bacterium. RNAcentral's name for it is "partial 16S ribosomal RNA". It matches the Rfam family "Bacterial small subunit ribosomal RNA", at positions 355 to 1375 of the family's 1533-position model. The record is from RNAcentral.